This 274-nucleotide ribosomal RNA is filed under the name uncultured bacterium. RNAcentral describes it as "partial 16S ribosomal RNA". It matches the Rfam family "Bacterial small subunit ribosomal RNA", at positions 523 to 796 of the family's 1533-position model. The record is from RNAcentral.
AUACAGAGGGUGCAAGCGUUAAUCGGAUUUACUGGGCGUAAAGCGCGCGUCGGCGGCUAAUUAAGUCAAAUGUGAAAUCCCCGAGCUUAACUUGGGAAUUGCAUUCGAUACUGGUUAGCUAGAGUGUGGGAGAGGAUGGUAGAAUUCCAGGUGUAGCGGUGAAAUGCGUAGAGAUCUGGAGGAAUACCGAUGGCGAAGGCAGCCAUCUGGCCUAACACUGACGCUGAGGUGCGAAAGCAUGGGGAGCAAACAGGAUUAGAUACCCCAGUAGUCC